CACGCAGGCGGUUGGAUAAGUUAGAUGUGAAAGCCCCGGGCUCAACCUGGGAAUUGCAUUUAAAACUGUCCAGCUAGAGUCUUGUAGAGGGGGUAGAAUUCCAGGUGUAGCGGUGAAAUGCGUAGAGAUCUGGAGGAAUACCGGUGGCGAAGGCGGCUUCCUGGCACACAACUGACGCUCAUGUGCGAAAGCCAGGGCAGCAACG
RNAcentral lists this ribosomal RNA (205 nucleotides) under uncultured bacterium. RNAcentral's name for it is "partial 16S ribosomal RNA". It matches the Rfam family "Bacterial small subunit ribosomal RNA", at positions 568 to 773 of the family's 1533-position model. The record is from RNAcentral.